RNAcentral lists this ribosomal RNA (486 nucleotides) under uncultured bacterium. RNAcentral's name for it is "partial 16S ribosomal RNA". It matches the Rfam family "Bacterial small subunit ribosomal RNA", at positions 30 to 507 of the family's 1533-position model. The record is from RNAcentral.
AUUGAACGCUGGCGGCAGGCUUAACACAUGCAAGUCGAGCGGAGUGAUUGUGCUUGCACCAUCACUUAGCGGCGAACGGGUGAGUAAUGCCUAGGAAUCUGCCCAUUAGCGGGGGACAACGUGUGGAAACGCCCGCUAAUACCGCCUACGCCCUACGGGGGAAAGCAGGGGACUCUUUUAGCCUUUCACUCAUGGAUGAGCCUAGGUCAGAUUAGCUAGUUGGUGGGGUAAAGGCCUACCAAGGCGACGAUCUGUAGCGGGUCUGAGAGGAUGAUCCGCCACACUGGAACUGAGACACGGUCCAGACUCCUACGGGAGGCAGCAGUGGGGAAUAUUGGACAAUGGGCGCAAGCCUGAUCCAGCCAUGCCGCGUGUGUGAAGAAGGCCUUUUGGUUGUAAAGCACUUUAAGCGAGGAGGAGGCUUACCUGGUUAAUACCUGGGAUAAGUGGACGUUACUCGCAGAAUAAGCACCGGCUAACUCUGUG